GGCUUGUCAUUAUGGCUUCUCUGCAAAGCGAGCAAAUUGAAUCUUACCAACGGGUCAUUGAGGUAAGCAUUCACAUUGCCAAAGCCUUUAAAGCCAGUGAUCAGUAGCUUUAAAACAGAGCUGAAAAAGCAUUACAAAGAAGACAUUAUUGUUUGGACUAGAUCCUCGCAUUAGAGUGUGCUUUAAGAUCUUAAUUAGUCCAGCGUUUUUGCAGGUUCAUAUCAGAACAAAAGAAAAUGACUUGCAUGAAUGCAUAAAGGUAAAAGACAAAAAGCCAUGCCAUUAAUUUAUAUCAUUCUAUCAUCUCCUGAAAAAGUUUUUGGAAAGUUUUACAACAAUUCCUAUAGCAUGUGCUUGUAGAUGUAAUUGUUAAAUUAGUUUUGAUUAGUCUGUUCACAAUAUUUACUUUGACAGACAAUGGAGUGGCUGAUACAGUAUGUAAGCUAGCAGAUCAGAAGAAUGGAUUGUAACCUCACAUUUUGUUCACUACCGUUGACUACUCAUACAUCACAAGACAUUGGAGAAAUGCAAAUGAAGAGCUCUCUAUAUUCUAAUAAAAAGCAGGUUAUAGAUAUCUGAUUCUUUUCCAACUAAGCAUAAACUCCUCUUGUUUCCGUCCAUAAAUGGCCGGAGGCAGAGUCUGUAACCACUUACCUGGCUUAUGCAAAGUUGGAGACACUAUUCUUUCUCAGGCAGCGCCUACUAAUUGCAUGUACCAUUUUUGUUAAAAAAUGCAUUACAAUACAAGCAAUGACAUAAUAUGUAAUCUCUCCUCUUACAAGAAGUUUUCUCCAAUAUUAUUUGGUCUAAUGGUUUUGUUAUGCUGAUGAAAUUUGUAAAGGUCUUCAUAGGCGAUGGUUACUGCUAUGUAAUUAAUGAUUUUUUCCCUGCUGCUUAUAUCAAACCAAGUCAGACGCUUCACUUGAGUUAGUUCAUACUCGUGUACCUCACCCACAUGUGUUUAAAUUACAUGUCAUUCACUGAACCAGGAUAUAUUGUUCCCAAAUUAGGUGGAACGAUCAGAAGUGGACAUUAAGAAAGGCAAAGUAAAAUUCACAAACAUCCUUGAGGGUUUUCCCAGCAACCAAACAGAAGAAAUGCCUAUGUUCAAAAAAAAAAAAAAGAUGCCAAAUAUGAGCCCACAACAAUCUUCAAAAAACGUGAGAGAGAGAACCGCAAUAAGCAACAACAAUCAAGUUAGUUACUUUUCCUUUCCUCUUACAAUUACAAAUAUACCACUGCUCUCAACCCAACCCAACCCAACCCAUGUAAGUUCUCCCGCCUAUAAAAUAGGAAGGACUAGUCGUGUAAUCCCCCUUUUCUACUUCUCUUCUUUUUCUUGAAUAGUUUUUCUUCUUUCACUCUCCUCUCACUACCAAAAUGGCGAUAACCGUAUUUGAAGCUUGCAAGAAAAGAAAACGAACUCCAAAGAAGAUCAUCUGCACUUCUCGCUUCUCCUCCAUCGAUGAUUCCAGUAUGGACUUUUCCCGUUCUUUUCGCGACAACAUCAAAGAGUUUCUAAAACGGUGCUCAGACUCUGAAGAUUAUAAACUUGGUGGAACCAAUCCUGUUUGGUGCACUUUACUUGUCAAUGAAUCAAGCGGCGUAGUUUUCCCUCUGUACAUCGUCGAAGAAUUCAUCAAUAACUCUUCCUCUUCUCAGCAUCAGCCUCUCUGCGACUUCUGUAGAUUCGUUGGUAACAUAUAAAAAUGAUUUCUUCAUUCUAUUAUGAAUUUCCUGCGAUUGCCUUUUAUUAUUAUCAGGAUUUGGGGGGUAUUGAUUUUUAAUUUCUUUUUAAUAGGAUGGAGUCACCAUUUUGUUUCUAAAAGAAACUAUCAUCUAAUAGUUCCUGAUGAUGAUAAAUGGAACAAGCCUUUAAAGAAAGAUUCACUUAAGCAAGAAAACCAUUUAUUACACGGUGUUAUUCACUGCAAUGGUUUUGGUCAUUUGCUCUGCAUCGAGAUUGAAUCUAAUUCAAAUUAUCUCAACGGAGAAGACCUCAUGAGCCUCUGGGAUCAUCUCUGUGCAUGUCUCAAAACCCGGUACAGUAAAAUUUUUCUUUAAUUAGUUACCUUCACAAUCAGACUUCCCGUUCUCUCUUUCUCUCUUUUUUCUAUUUUGGUUAAUUGGGCUCCUACUGUGGCUUGAACUUGAUAAUUCAUAGCCCUGGCUAAAGUAUAGAGUUCAUUUUUUAAUUUUAACAUUUUGAUUGGUGUUGCAGUGACAUUUCAGUGCAUGAUUUGUCAAAGAAGGGAUCUAUGGACUUGAGAUUGCUUAAUGGAGUUGCAUAUGGGCGUUCUUGGUUUGGUAAAUGGGGCUAUAAGCUAUGUCGUGGAAGUUUUGGAGUUAGAAAGCACGAAUACAAUAGAGCUAUUGAAAUUCUUAGUUCAUUAGAGCUUAGUAAGAUUACUACUGAUUUUAGUAAAAGAAAACAAGGAAAAUUGAUUGGACAAAUUGUUCAAACUUAUAGUGAUAUUAGUGAGACCCAGUUGGUUACUAUUAGUGACUUGCUUUAUUUUAUGCUUGCUUUCGAGUCUAAACCUCUUAUUCAAAGGAAAACAGCCCUUGCAUUGGCUUCAUUUUCAUCCAAAUCAUCAAGAGAUCAAACAACCAAUCAACCCAAAGCUUCUUUGCCCAGCUAUCCAAGUGAUUAUAAGUCACUUGCUUCUUUUGUUGCUAAACUGGAUGCCAGAUGGCCUGAAAGAAGACUUGAGCGGGUAGUGGAAGUGAUUUUUCAAAUUUUGCAAAUACAUGGAGCUAGGAUGCUUCGCCAAGACUUAAGAGACGCAGUUAGACAACAUAUUGGUGACACUGGUUUGAUUGAUUUUGUUCUUAAGCAUAUUGAUAAGGUUAUUGUGGGAAAUCAAGUUAUUGUUCGUGCAAACAAGCCAGUUAGCAAGUUGUUAGAAUUUUCACUUGAAGAUAUUUCUGAUGGAGCUACACUCGAAAAGAAAGCACAAUCACACACUGAUAUUUCAACUUUAAAACUAGGACUAAAUGUUCGAAAAGAUUUACUCUUCUUGUACAAGAAUGUUUUAUUGGGCUACCCUGAUUAUCAUGCUGUUGCUAUAGCUGCUAGAGUGAUCUUAGACUGUAAGCAUUUUUUUAAGGAGUGGCAAUAUAAGAGCAGUAAUGAGGAUGCAUUACUGACGCUAAUUUGCCAGGUAAGGCCAAGUUAUGAUGAAUUGGCAAAUGAGCUAACUUGGCCACUGCCACCAGGUGAACCAGUGAUGGCUCCGGAAUGUGCAACAGUUUUUGAGCUUAAAUUGACAGUGCAAUGUGCAUUAAGGGACACAUAUUGUGUAAUGGACAAUUUUGUAGUCAAUGAUAUAGAAAUUGGGGGAUUAGUGGCAAGAGAGGAGGGCCAAGAUUUGCUCAAGUGUGGGCUGGAGGAUGGUAUGAAGGUUUGGGUGAGGGGGUCUGGUCUGGACUUAGAUACAAAGUUGAGAUAUCAGGGUGGGGAUAAUGAUUGGACUGUGGAUUGUAAGUGUGGGGCAAAGGAUGAUGAUGGGGAAAGAAUGGUGGCCUGUGAUGCUUGCCAUGUUUGGCAGCAUACUAGGUGUAACAGCAUUAAGGAUGAUGCUUCUCCUCCUACUUUGUUUCUAUGUCGUAUGUGUAAUUGCAGGAUGAAGAAGUCGUCUGCAAGAUGCAUAUCCGCCGAGAAAAACAGAUUUGGCAGGAGGCAUGAUAUUGGGCCUCAAUGAUUCCCAUCUUGUGUUUCAUGCAGCAGAUUUUAUUCGCUCCUUCAAAGACGGCUCUUAUAGCAUUUUAAAACUUUGAACAGUUUAAUGUAUCACAAUUUUAUUAACAGGUGUCUGCAGGUUCUAUCUGAGAUCCUGCAAGAUCUCAGGUUAUAGGAUGCUAAUUUAUUUAAAAAGCUUUGGCACGAAUGCCUGUUGUUAUAUUUGUUUAUAGAAGCAGUUUGUAUCUAGUUACCAGGCUUUUGUAAGGUUAGAAACACAAUUCCCUCUGAGGCAUAACGAUUUGCAGAUACUCUUUAUUAGCUAACAAAUACAUUAUAAUUGCAAGCAAUGACAUAUUAUCCAGAAGAUUAAAUGUUCAAUAAUAGUAAUAGAUAGAAUAUGAUGAAUUUGACCUGGCUUUGUCGGUGGCAACAACACUCGUACCAGCUGGGCCUGGAUGAGAUAGGCAAAUCCAAGCUCAUGAAAACGUGCAAGCUUAAGCUAAUCAGCUGGAAUGUGUAUUCUUGCAUUCCCAUAUAUAUUUGACAAUUUGGACUCCUACUCCUAUACGUUGUUAGCCUGCCCAGCCGAAAAGCCUGAACUCAAGUUUAACCUUGUCCGCUCCUAUUUAUAUUCUUGCUGCUUUCGACUCCUUGUCUUCACCUCGAAACGAAUAAUUCCCAUUUCUAUUUGGCAAUGCUUCUGCUAUUUAUUUAGGCUUAUAAUUCCCA
RNAcentral lists this long non-coding RNA (4414 nucleotides) under Ricinus communis (castor bean). RNAcentral's name for it is "long non-coding RNA (RCOM_LNC002207)". The record is from RNAcentral. Lineage: Eukaryota; Viridiplantae; Streptophyta; Magnoliopsida; Malpighiales; Euphorbiaceae.